This 500-nucleotide ribosomal RNA is filed under the name uncultured bacterium. Its description in RNAcentral is "partial 16S ribosomal RNA". It matches the Rfam family "Bacterial small subunit ribosomal RNA", at positions 29 to 523 of the family's 1533-position model. The record is from RNAcentral.
AUUGAACGCUGGCGGCAUGCCUUACACAUGCAAGUCGAACGGCAGCGCGGGAGCAAUCCUGGCGGCGAGUGGCGAACGGGUGAGUAAUAUAUCGGAACGUGCCCAGUAGUGGGGGAUAGCCCGGCGAAAGCCGGAUUAAUACCGCAUACGACCUACGGGGGGAAGGGGGGGAUCGCAAGCCCACUCGCUAUUGGAGCGGCCGAUAUCAGAUUAGGUAGUUGGUGGGGUAAAGGCCCACCAUGCCUACGAUCUGUAGUUGGUCUGAGAGGACGACCAGCCACACUGGGACUGAGACACGGCCCAGACUCCUACGGGAGGCAGCAGUGGGGAAUUUUGGACAAUGGGGGCAACCCUGAUCCAGCAAUGCCGCGUGCAGGAAGAAGGCCUUCGGGUUGUAAACUGCUUUUGUCAGGGAAGAAAUCCCUUGGGUUAAUACCUCGGGGGGAUGACGGUACCUGAAGAAUAAGCACCGGCUAACUACGUGCCAGCAGCCGCGGUAA